RNAcentral lists this ribosomal RNA (253 nucleotides) under uncultured bacterium. RNAcentral's name for it is "partial 16S ribosomal RNA". It matches the Rfam family "Bacterial small subunit ribosomal RNA", at positions 524 to 776 of the family's 1533-position model. The record is from RNAcentral.
UACGUAGGGUGCAAGCGUUGUCCGGAAUUAUUGGGCGUAAAGAGCUCGUAGGCGGUCUGUAGCGUCGGCUGUGAAAUCCCGAGGCUCAACCUCGGGUCUGCAGUCGAUACGGGCAAACUAGAGUAUUGCAGGGGAGACUGGAAUUCCUGGUGUAGCGGUGAAAUGCGCAGAUAUCAGGAGGAACACCGGUGGCGAAGGCGGGUCUCUGGGCAAUAACUGACGCUGAGGAGCGAAAGCGUGGGGAGCGAACAGG